This 497-nucleotide ribosomal RNA is filed under the name uncultured bacterium. RNAcentral's name for it is "partial 16S ribosomal RNA". It matches the Rfam family "Bacterial small subunit ribosomal RNA", at positions 28 to 507 of the family's 1533-position model. The record is from RNAcentral.
GAUGAACGCUGGCGGCGUGCCUAAUACAUGCAAGUCGAGCGAACGGACGAGAAGCUUGCUUCUCUGAUGUUAGCGGCGGACGGGUGAGUAACACGUGGAUAACCUACCUAUAAGACUGGGAUAACUUCGGGAAACCGGAGCUAAUACCGGAUAAUAUUUUGAACCGCAUGGUUCAAAAGUGAAAGACGGUCUUGCUGUCACUUAUAGAUGGAUCCGCGCUGCAUUAGCUAGUUGGUAAGGUAACGGCUUACCAAGGCAACGAUGCAUAGCCGACCUGAGAGGGGGAUCGGCCACACUGGAACGGGAACACGGUCCAGACUCCUACGGGAGGCAGCAGUAGGGAAUCUUCCGCAAUGGGCGAAAGCCUGACGGAGCAACGCCGCGUGAGUGAUGAAGGUCUUCGGAUCGUAAAACUCUGUUAUUAGGGAAGAACAUAUGUGUAAGUAACUGUGCACAUCUUGACGGUACCUAAUCAGAAAGCCACGGCUAACUACGUG